Molecule: long non-coding RNA, 660 nt
Organism: Balaenoptera musculus (blue whale)
Lineage: Eukaryota; Metazoa; Chordata; Mammalia; Artiodactyla; Balaenopteridae
Exons: 3
Source: RefSeq, a predicted model, not a curated record
AAGUGCGGAGCCCUAACCACUGGACCGCCAGGGAAUUCCCCACGGAUGCUGUUGAGAGGAAGGUGAUUUGCAUCCUUGGCACCUUGACAGGACUCAAAUGGAGCACAGUCCCAUCGAACAUCCAACUGCAACUGUGUCCAAGGAUGCCUCUUUGCAGGAUGCCAAGAGAAUUUGAGACUCUUCUCAAAAUCUUCUGACUCGUCUGCCUGUGAUUUCCAGCCUGAAUUAAGUGAUGCUUGUUGGUGAUGCAGUUGUUUUGGCAAUUCUCAGUCAUUUGCAUUUCCAUAUGAAGUUUAGAAUCAGUCUGUCAAUUCCCAGAAAAAGGCCAGCUGGGAUUUUGGUUGGGAUUGUACUGAAUUUAUAAAUUAAUUUGGAGAGAAUUAACAUCCUAACAAUGUUGAGUCGUCUAAUCCAUGAACAAGGUAUCUCUCAUUUUAUUUAGGUCUUUUAAAAUUUCUUUCAACAAAGUUUUGUAGCUAUCAAUGGACAGGUCUUUCACAUAUUUUGUGGGGGUCUGAAUUGCUGACUGUAAUUGUGGGUUUGUCUACUUCUCACAGUUCUAUCAGUUUUUGUUUCAUGUACUUGGAAGCACUGUUAUUAGGUGCAUAAACACUUAAGAUUGUUAUGUGCUUAUGUGAAUUGAGCCUUUUAUCGUCAUGA